UACAGAGACUGCAAGCGUUAUUCGGAUUCACUGGGCGUAAAGGGUGCGCAGGCGGCCAAGUGUGUGAGGCGUGAAAGCCCGAUGCUCAACAUCGGAAUUGCACCUCAAACUACAUGGCUAGAGCAUUGGAGAGGGUAGCGGAAUUCACGGUGUAGCAGUGAAAUGCGUAGAUAUCGUGAGGAACACCAGUGGCGAAGGCGGCUAUCUGGACGGUUUCUGACACUAAGACUCGAAAGCGUGGGGAGCAAACAGG
This 253-nucleotide ribosomal RNA is filed under the name uncultured bacterium. RNAcentral describes it as "partial 16S ribosomal RNA". It matches the Rfam family "Bacterial small subunit ribosomal RNA", at positions 524 to 776 of the family's 1533-position model. The record is from RNAcentral.